UACAUUCACUACUGUAAUUUGCUCUGGAUAAGAGCGUCUGCUAAAUGACUAAAA
Salmo salar (Atlantic salmon) is the source of this 54-nucleotide non-coding RNA. NCBI's taxonomy places the organism in Eukaryota, Metazoa, Chordata, Actinopteri, Salmoniformes, Salmonidae. The record is from Rfam.